UUUGUAGCCUCGUUUGAAUGUCACGGUUACGCACAUUUGUACGGAAUGGGGCUCGUCUUUGAAUGCAGACCCUGAGGGGCAGUCAAUUCCCAGCUCCCCAUCCUGCACCCCUAACACCCCAACACUGCGCUGCAGCGACAGCUCCGAGCUCAACCCCAACUCCAACCUGAACAUCAACCUCAACACCAGCCUCAAUGCCAGCUUCCCACCAGCCUUCAGCAGCUCCACAGGUACGACUCCCAGCUCGCCAUUCUCCAGCCACCCAGAAUACCCCACUUUCCAAGUGUGCUCGGGCUCUUGGAGUGACGAGUGCACCAUCUGUUAUGAGAACGUGGUGGACACGGUGCUGUACGCCUGUGGUCAUAUGUGUCUCUGCUACGCCUGUGGCCUCAAACUGAAGAAGAUGGCCAACGCCUGCUGCCCGAUCUGCAGGAGGACUAUCAAAGACAUUAUAAAGACCUACCGGAGCACGUAGGAUCGGCCUGGCUGUGUAACACCGUGGCUCAUUCACCGAGAUCAUCAAAGAAAACAUUGAGGCCUAUCAGUGCAUGUAGGGCUGACCUGUCUGUGUCACCUAUGGCUCAGCUACAGGAGGUUGUUCAUCAAAGACCACCAGAGACAUAAUUCAGUCUUAUUGGAGCAUGUAGGUUUGGCCUGUCUCAGUAUGGCUCAGCAACACUGAGAUUCAGCAUCAUCCAGUUGGACCGUCAAAUAUGUCAGAAAAACAUGUUGGGGCAUAAAGGGUUGGCAUUUCACCAUGACCUGUCUACUCUACAGGGGAGGCUUCUGAGAGGCGGACGGUUUAUACUAAUGGCUGGAAUGGAGUAAAUGGAAUGGCAUCAAUUGGGGAGCAUGGGCUU
Long non-coding RNA from Salvelinus namaycush (lake trout), 860 nucleotides. RefSeq lists it as uncharacterized. Lineage: Eukaryota; Metazoa; Chordata; Actinopteri; Salmoniformes; Salmonidae. The transcript has 3 exons. The record is from RefSeq and is a predicted model, not a curated record.